UUGGCUAAAGCAGUAAAGAAUCUGCCUGCAAUGCAGGAGACCCAGGUUCGAUUCCUGGA
Molecule: transfer RNA, 59 nt
Filed under: Ovis aries (sheep)
Lineage: Eukaryota; Metazoa; Chordata; Mammalia; Artiodactyla; Bovidae
Rfam family: tRNA
About the family: Transfer RNA (tRNA) molecules are approximately 80 nucleotides in length. Their secondary structure includes four short double-helical elements and three loops (D, anti-codon, and T loops).
Source: Rfam by way of RNAcentral